RNAcentral lists this ribosomal RNA (253 nucleotides) under uncultured bacterium. Its description in RNAcentral is "partial 16S ribosomal RNA". It matches the Rfam family "Bacterial small subunit ribosomal RNA", at positions 524 to 776 of the family's 1533-position model. The record is from RNAcentral.
UACGUAGGGUGCGAGCGUUAAUCGGAAUUACUGGGCGUAAAGCGUGCGCAGGCGGUUUUGUAAGCCAGAUGUGAAAGCCCCGGGCUUAACCUGGGAAUGGCAUUUGGGACUGCAAGGCUGGAGUUUGGCAGAGGAGACUGGAAUUCCUGGUGUAGCAGUGAAAUGCGUAGAUAUCGGGAGGAACACCAGUGGCGAAGGCGACUACCUGGCCUGUUCUUGACGCUGAGGCGCGAAAGCUAGGGGAGCAAACGGG